CUUCAGUGAUGAUAAGAUGACGAGUCAGAAGCGGGUGCCUCUUGUUGGGGUACCGCUGCAGUGUCAUGUUCUGUGAUGCUGUGUGUGGUUCUUCGUCCUACUCAUUGAACGAUUUAGAGGCAUUUGUCUGAGAAGG
Molecule: small nucleolar RNA, 136 nt
Filed under: Pterocles gutturalis (yellow-throated sandgrouse)
Lineage: Eukaryota; Metazoa; Chordata; Aves; Pterocliformes; Pteroclidae
Source: RNAcentral